This 253-nucleotide ribosomal RNA is filed under the name uncultured bacterium. Its description in RNAcentral is "partial 16S ribosomal RNA". It matches the Rfam family "Bacterial small subunit ribosomal RNA", at positions 524 to 776 of the family's 1533-position model. The record is from RNAcentral.
CACGUAGGAGGCGAGCGUUAUCCGGAUUCACUGGGCGUAAAGCGCGUGCAGGCGGUUUGGUAAGUUGGGCGUGAAAGCUCCCGGCUCAACUGGGAGAGGUCGUUCAAUACUACCAAACUAGAGAGCAGAAGAGGAAGAUGGAAUUCCCGGUGUAGUGGUGAAAUGCGUAGAUAUCGGGAGGAACACCAGUGGCGAAGGCGAUCUUCUGGUCUGUUUCUGACGCUCAGACGCGACAGCUAGGGUAGUAAACGGG